UGAACUACCUAUUUCUUGAAUUUAAAAUUCAUUUAUAAUGCAAAAGUUAGUUAGCGCACAUUAAAGUAUCUGUUGUUGAUGUAAGCAAAGUAAAAAUGCAUGCAAUGUUUUUCAGCUAAUCAGCUUUUGAACUGAAAGCAUUAAAGCGGUGUUUUCCUCUGUUACUGAACUUGCAUUAAUGGGCUGUUUUUAUUCAGCUUUAUUAACUGGAACAGGUCUGUGUGCUUCACAUCGCUUUAACAUUCAUGCACUGGACUCAUCUCUCUGUUUAGUAUGUGUCACAGAAAACAAACAGGAGUAGUGGAACAUAUCUUUAGUACCCAGUUAGCCCGGCUCAGUUACUCACACCGGAGUGAAUAUUAAAUCCAGAGCGUCCGUCCAGCUGCCCUGAGACACACAGACACUGCAGGAGACUCCAGGGACUGGAGGAGCAGAGUCAAGACUGGGAGGUUGUUGAAAGAGAGAUGUGUAAAUGCUGAUCAGGCUGUUUAACACACACAUGGAUGAAAUACAGAGGGUGAAGAGAGCACAGCUAACUUUAGCGGCAAAAGUAAAAGCCUCAUCAUGACCCCUCUUGACCCCGCAGUGACCCUCAACGGAUCAAAUGAAGCAACUGAUGCCACACUGUAAGUAUAUUUAUGCAUGAAUGAUUUUGGGAGAAUCUGAUUUGAAAUAUUUGAGCUCAAAUUGAAUUCAGUGCAUUUUGACUGCAGAUCUGAGACGGGUUUGAGAAAUCGUUGUUGAGAAAUCUUUGAUAUCUCUUCUGAAAACCUCAAAGAGAGAUACACGUUUAUCAGGAGAAGCUCAGUUUGCUUUCCAUUUAAUCACGUUUCCGUCUCGGAGAAUCACUUGAGAUGUUCAAGAGAUCUCAUUACUGGUUUUCUAUCGUGUGGAUGUUUGGCUUGUGCCGUCUCAUUAGCGUGAUACUGCGCUGCUCCAGAACAAGAGCCAGUGGAUCACAGACUAUCUGCUGACAGCUGAAGAGCGACAGAUACACCCCUCCGUGGCCUGAGGGACUCUGAUGAUAUCAGCAUUAACAAGCUUGAGGCUCUGGCACAAUGGGGCUUCAGGUGCUGUGCUGUAAACCGAUGGGACAUUCAUCACAUUCUGACUCUCUGGUUACAAUCUGCUGCCCUGGACCUUUGAAACCAGGCAAGAAACAAGAGCCCAGCAGUCAGUGUGUGUGAGCUGAGGACUUGAAUUCAGCGCUGGCCUGAGGGAGAUGGGAUUAGAACAAAGCUGUGUUUCUCUAAUUGGACUCGACAAGCUCUGGUCAGUCAGAUAAGGUGAGGACCACGGCUCAGUCCUGUAUUCUUCAAACCACAGAGAACAGAGAAAUGACAUGUCCUUCUGUCAGACGAUGCACAUUUACUCCCCUCUGAAUUUAGUUCAUACCCUUUUAGAGAGACUUUAACUAGAUCAGAAUAAAACACAUAGAACAUUACAAAAAAAUCCAUUCAUGACUGGAUGUUUACUAAGUUUAUUUAUAUUGCACACUUCAUACACUGCUAAUUCAAAGUGCUUUACAGAAAAUGU
Carassius gibelio (silver crucian carp) is the source of this 1536-nucleotide long non-coding RNA. RefSeq lists it as uncharacterized. The record is from RefSeq and is a predicted model, not a curated record. The transcript is spliced from 3 exons. Lineage: Eukaryota; Metazoa; Chordata; Actinopteri; Cypriniformes; Cyprinidae.